GAGUGUGUAGGAGAGAUUUAUCUAAAAAAAGUGGAAACAAGGAAACACUCAAUUUAGAUAAAUCAAUAA
This 69-nucleotide non-coding RNA is filed under the name Prochlorococcus marinus str. MIT 9515. RNAcentral describes it as "Cyano-1 RNA". It matches the Rfam family "Cyano-1 RNA". The record is from Rfam by way of RNAcentral. Lineage: Bacteria; Bacillati; Cyanobacteriota; Cyanophyceae; Synechococcales; Prochlorococcaceae.